GUAGAGGUGGAGAGAGACCAACGACCGGGGGGGGGGAUCGUCCGACGACAAUCAUAGUAGUUUUCUAGCGCUUGUUAAGGGACUUCUACGCAUUUAACGGGCAAUUGAAAAGGGGGAACUAUCCUAGCGUCGAGAAAGUCUCUCUAUAGCGGUGGAUGGUUGCAGGAAGCGGGCUACAAUCUAGGCAGCUCAAACAAUCAAUAUGGUUUUCUCUGUGUUGGAGACGACUUAUCAGCAUGACAGUCUGAUGUACCUGCUGGACUACUUACUCCCUGCCAAGCAUCUUCUAUACAAACUACAGCAGCAUGCCUGUCCCUUCUGUUGAAGAAGAGAGAGGUCUUACAGUGAUAGUGGACAGCAGACAGUCUCCCCCCUCUACUCUCUGCCUCGCUGCACUGAAACAAUUCCGGACUGUUCCCCUGAGUGUGGAUAAACACAGAGAGCUGAUGACGAGCGUCCUGGUCAACCAACAGCUAACUGAGCUGCAGCUGAAGGGCGGGGCCUGGCUGGCAGGACUGACCACAUCAGGACUGGCAAAGAGAUCCCCGGACUGCAGGGAUGCCUUGGCUGUGACCUCAAACCUCUAUGAUAGUGUGGACAACGCCCUCCACCGCCUCAUCCAGAUGUCCAAUCACAGAGUCAGCGCCCUGGAAGCCCUCGGUCGAUUGGCUGCCAUGGUGGACAAACUGGAAAAGCAAGCUCUAUCUAUUAUGGUGUAGGAUGCUGUGUUCAGGGAGGCAGUACGUGGCCGUGUUAAAGGGUGUGGAGGAGACCUACCUGCCCCUCUUGGAGGGUCCAGACACCCCGUCCUCCCUCCGGGGGAAAGCAGGCCUCCUUUUCCACAACUUGGCCAGCUUCAGCACCUUCCACUCGCAGUACCUCCUCCCAACCAUGGAGGGAGCUCUACUGCAGAGUCUGCUGAAACAGGACCUCUUCAGUAAACAUAGAGAGGAGUUUCUCCAGUACUCUCACUACAUAUAGUGAGGACCAAACCAGAAGUGGACUCCUUGUUGGUCACUUAGGCUAGACUUCUUCAAGCUCAGACUCCCUGCCACCCCUCCUCUCUCCCUCCUGUCCUUCCCCCACUGUCUCCAGGCCCCUACACAGACUGGAACAGUACUGUGAUGUUCUAGAGGAGCUGGGAAGGUUAAACCCCGCCUCUGACUCCUUCCUCUCCGUCCUCAGACACGCCCAGCGCCACGGUGAGGACCUCCGGGCCAGCGACCUCAUCGUCAGGUGUCCGGUCCCGGUGGCGGAGCGUGGAGAUCUGGUGCGUCAGGUGUGUGGGAGGACCAGGAGGAAGAAUACCGGGGUGUGUUCCUCUAUCAACCCCUCAUCAUCUUCACCAAGCAGAAGAGCCCGGGACACACCGCCUACAGCUUCAAUCACAGCAUCAAGUGUCAGAGUGGAGAGGAGAGGGCAGCCUGGACACACGAUAUCGCUCAGCUCCUUUGGACCCACACCAUACACAAUACAGGUGGGACGGUAGUGUCCCAUACCCCCAGAGAGGUUUUAAGGCAGCAGACAAAAUUCCUUUGUCCUCACACUAUGGAGAACCGGCCUCAGAACAUUAACAUGCAAUAAAUGGACUUUGGGACAAUAGGUUUCGUCAGCCACAAUGGUGCUAAUGACGAUAGAUGUAAUAUGAAAAUGAAUGUCGUUUUGUUAUGUUAUUAAAAGUUAAAGGACGACGUUAUAACAAAAACAUUGUAACUUUAAGAGUUGUCCUAAUAUGUGCCUGAUGUUUGCAUAUUGUACAUUGUGUGGAAAAUGUCCAGAUCAAAGAGAAUGUUUUUGUAAAGAUGAAAUGUGAAGUUAGUUGACUAAAUUGGAACUGAGUAAAAUCCAGACCUUGCCUCGUAACUUGGUACGCCCAGAGAAUUGCCCUAAAGGCGGAAACGCCCAUUUCUGACCCGAGGGUAUAAAAUAUGUGAGUUAAGAAUUAACAUAUUAGACUAAGUGACCCUGAGCUGCAGCCAAGGUCUGAGUGGUCAGCAAACCCAAAACGCAACACAAGGUUGAAGAGGACAAAGGAACCUUUUUACAACCUAUGCUACGGACAAGUAGCCAUAUCUAACGGGGGUGAAUGAAGCAGGACCACCUGGUCACCACUCUCCAAGGAAUCAUGUGUCUACACUGUUUUCCUUCCCACGCUGGAACCAUCCCCACGCUGAUUAGCCCUCCUCCGAAGACCCCUUUUCAGAGCAAGGACGAGGAAACAGACUACUAAAAGAAAGGACACUGACAUCGUGAGAAGAAACAGAGAGUUACACCCGGUAACCGAAGAUGGACCGUCAUCAGAGAAGUCGGAACCACGGUCCACGCAGAGACCCCCCAUUGGAGACCUUCAACACUUCACAGUAGCUGUUCAGACUCCUCCUCUGUUGGCAGUCAGAAGGAGGGGGAAUCCCCAGCAUCUGGGAGGGGACACACACACAGAAACUGGAUUCCGGACUCCAAAACAACUUACAUUUUACAUUUACAUAACUUCUCUAUUGGAAGUGUAAACCUGGAGAUAAAGCAAACAAAGAGACAUUACGGCUCUAACUAACCCAGGAUCUAGCAUCAACAGAGCCUGCUGUGGAUGGCCAUGUUGGAUCGGCCGGACACAGUUGCUCGCAGAGUCAUUGAUACCGUGGACACUCCAGCCACACAGAAGGAGCAUUGUCCUCCCUCUGCGGCUCCCCGCUAGGCCAAACCACUCUGUCUGAACCACUGACUGGCAGCCAUGGCCUAGUGUGUGUGUGUGUGUGUGUGUGUGUGUGUGUGUGUGUGUGU
This 2778-nucleotide long non-coding RNA is filed under the name Salmo salar (Atlantic salmon). RNAcentral describes it as "lncRNA (ENSSSAG00000118683.1)". Lineage: Eukaryota; Metazoa; Chordata; Actinopteri; Salmoniformes; Salmonidae. The record is from RNAcentral.